UUUGUGGAAAAGUAUGUUGUAACUUUGGUGAGCCACUUCCCUGUUUUUCCUUAAUAAUCUUGAUGUUCAAUAAUAUGUACUGUCUAUGUUUGCAGAAGAAUGAUAGAUGCAGAUUCUAGGAGUGAUUUGAUGACGAGGACACCCCACGGAAGCAGAAGUUGAUAGCUAGGCUGCUUAAGAGGAUUCGAAAAAUGGAGAAUGAGAUUGUGACCUUUCAAGCAAGGAAGAGGAAGCUCUGGUUUUUUUUGGUUGUAUCUUGGAUGCUGCUUGUUGCUUUGAUGAUUAAAGGGAAAUAGGUCAUUUAAGG
This 307-nucleotide long non-coding RNA is filed under the name Prunus persica (peach). RNAcentral describes it as "long non-coding RNA (PPER_LNC004533)". Lineage: Eukaryota; Viridiplantae; Streptophyta; Magnoliopsida; Rosales; Rosaceae. The record is from RNAcentral.